GGGUGGAGAUUUGAUCCUGGCUCAGAACGAACGCUGGCGGCAGGCUUAACACAUGCAAGUCGAACGCCCCGCAAGGGGAGUGGCAGACGGGUGAGUAACGCGUGGGAAUCUACCGUGCCCUGCGGAAUAGCUCCGGGAAACUGGAAUUAAUACCGCAUACGCCCUACGGGGGAAAGAUUUAUCGGGGUAUGAUGAGCCCGCGUUGGAUUAGCUAGUUGGUGGGGUAAAGGCCUACCAAGGCGACGAUCCAUAGCUGGUCUGAGAGGAUGAUCAGCCACAUUGGGACUGAGACACGGCCCAAACUCCUACGGGAGGCAGCAGUGGGGAAUAUUGGACAAUGGGCGCAAGCCUGAUCCAGCCAUGCCGCGUGAGUGAUGAAGGCCUUAGGGUUGUAAAGCUCUUUCACCGGUGAAGAUAAUGAC
RNAcentral lists this ribosomal RNA (422 nucleotides) under Agrobacterium tumefaciens. RNAcentral describes it as "bacterial SSU rRNA". It matches the Rfam family "Bacterial small subunit ribosomal RNA", at positions 1 to 455 of the family's 1533-position model. The record is from RNAcentral. Lineage: Bacteria; Pseudomonadati; Pseudomonadota; Alphaproteobacteria; Hyphomicrobiales; Rhizobiaceae.